AAAAAAGAAAGCAAAUUGAUAAUAGAUGACAAUUUAAUAUAGAGAUGUAAAAACCAAAGCAAGCCAGAUUUUUUUUCCUAUUUCCAGAAGAAAAAAAUUAAGAAAAGGAAAGAAAGAUAAACUAUUAUAAGUCAAAGUGAAGGGUGUCACAUCUUCAAAUCAAUAAGAUCUGGACAAUAACCAAGUGAAACUACAAAUAGACCUAUAUAAUAGCCCAAGUGAUUGACUAUCUAUGAAAAGAAAUUGGCUCAAAAUCGCUCGGUGACAGACAGAGAACUUUAUUACUGAAAGAUAACAAGAAUCCUCUGUCUAUUUUCCUUUUUUUUUUUUUUCUUUAUCCAUUGUUUAUUUCUUUUACUUCAUUUUAUUUACCCUACAAAUAUUUUCGUCCAUUUUUAUUUUUCGAGUAUUUUUUUUUUGUUUUGAUAUUUUUACAUUUUUCAGCUUUUGCUCAUUUCUGUCAUCUCAGUGAGCACCAUCACAAAGUGUAAGCUGUUAGCUCCCAGUGAACUGAAUUUCGUGAUCCAGUUUUCGUUUUAAAUAUUUCUUUCCCUGUCUCUCACUAUAAAUCUCAAAUAAAAAUUUUGCUGCAGACGUCAUUUCCUGUCACUCAAACUGCAAGUCAAUGAAGAAAUUUCUCUCCAUGAACAACAAACAACAACAACAACGACGACGACAAGACGGCAGCUACAGCAACAGUAAUGACAACAACAAUAAUGGCAGUAACAGCAGCUCUCGUUGCUGCGUUACUCUCGUUUAUCUGACAUGAAAGAAUUACUAUGGAUGAACGACUGAGAAAUAAUUCUGAGUAGCUUUCAAAGUUUCAUUUUUCAAAAUCUUGUAAGCAACAAGGGAAAAACAAAAAUAUCUUAAAUUUAAAAACUCAGGCAUUCGACGUCAGUUUAAAAAGACAUUUAAAAGAAACACCCCUGCCCUUAAAAUCCAAAGACAACUAUUUAUUAUAUAUAAUUAUUAUAUAUAUAUAUAUAUAUUAUAUAUAUAUAUAUAUGGUUUAUAAGCCAGAAACUAACAGAAGCGCAAUUGAAAAGAUGAGAUAUUUAAAAUAAAACAAGCAAAUAAUAAUAAAAUAAAGAUAUAUAAACAUUAGCAAAAUGGGAAAAUUAUAAAUGAGCUUUUUUAAAUUACAGAAAACCAAAGAAACUUACAAACGAACAUCACUGUUCUAUUUAUCUAUCUUUCUAUCUAUCUAUCUAUCUCGAAAAAGGGUUGUGGAAAUAUUGUGAAGGUUAUAAUUUAUAAACUUAGCAAACCCAAGCAAAUUUUAAAAGUCAAAAUGCAAGAAUAAAAGUUCUUCAAAAAGUGGAACACACACACACACAUAUAUAUAUAUAUAUAUAUAUAUAUAUAUAUAUAUUAUAUGCAUGUAUAUGUAUCUAUGCAUAUAAAAUAUAGUCUUUUAUAAUUACGACCCACGUUAUUAUGGAUAGAUGACCAAGGGAAAACAAUCUAAAUUAUUAAAAAAAAACAAACGAACGAACAUUACGAAGGGGAAUUACAAUACAAUAUAUAUAUAUAUAUAUAUUAUAUAUAUAUAUAUAUAUAUAUAUAU
Molecule: long non-coding RNA, 1570 nt
Filed under: Octopus sinensis (East Asian common octopus)
Lineage: Eukaryota; Metazoa; Mollusca; Cephalopoda; Octopoda; Octopodidae
Description: uncharacterized LOC118760910
Source: RNAcentral